This 1242-nucleotide ribosomal RNA is filed under the name metagenome. RNAcentral describes it as "bacterial LSU rRNA". It matches the Rfam family "Bacterial large subunit ribosomal RNA", at positions 1564 to 2816 of the family's 2925-position model. The record is from RNAcentral.
UGAAUACGAGAUGCUACGGCGUCGAAGCAGUCUAUGUCAUACUUCCAAGAAAAGCUUGCACUGUCAUAAACAAAUAAUGCCUGUACCAUAACCGACACAGGUGGGUAGGUAGAGUAUACUAAGGGGCGCGAGAUAACUCUCUCUAAGGAACUCGGCAAAAUGACUCCGUAACUUCGGGAGAAGGAGUGCCUUAUUUAUAAGGUUGCAAUAACAAGAUCCAAGCAACUGUUUACCAAAAACACAGGUCUCCGCUAAGUCGUAAGACGAUGUAUGGGGGCUGACGCCUGCCCAGUGCCAGAAGGUUAAAGAAGUUGGUUAGCAUCCGCGAAGCUGAUAACUGAAGCCCUGGUGAACGGCGGCCGUAACUAUAACGGUCCUAAGGUAGCGAAAUUCCUUGUCGGGUAAGUUCCGACCCGCACGAAAGGCGUAAUGAUUUGGAUACUGUCUCGGAGAGGGGCUCGGUGAAAUAGACUUGUCUGUGAAGAUGCGGACUACCUGCACCAGGACAGAAAGACCCUAUGAAGCUUUACUGUAACCUGAAAUUGAAAUUGGACUUUACUUGCGCAGUAUAGGUGGGAGGCGUUGAGAAUAUUCUUGCGGGAUUAUUGGAGCCAUCAGUGAGAUACCACUCUUGUAAUGUUAGAUUUCUAACUUUGUAUCAUUAUCUGGUCAAAGAACAGUUUCAGGCGGGCAGCUUGACUGGGGCGGUCGCCUCCUAAACGGUAACGGAGGCGCACAAAGGUUUCCUCUGAACGGGUAGAAAUCGUAUCUAGAGUGUAAAGGCAUAAGGAAGCUUGACUGUGAGACCUACAAGUCGAGCAGGGACGAAAGUCGGUCUUAGUGAUCUGACGGUGCUGAGUGGAAAGGCCGUCACUCAACGGAUAAAAGUUACUCUAGGAUAACAGGCUGAUCUCCCCCAAGAGUUCACAUCGACGGGGAGGUUUGGCACCUCGAUGUCGGCUCAUCGCAUCCUGGGGCGGUAGUACGUCCCAAGGGUUGGGCUGUUCGCCCAUGAAAGCGGUACGCGAGCUGGGUUCAGAACGUCGUGAGACAGUUCGGUCCAUAUCCGGUGUAGGCGUUAGAAUAUUGAGAGGAGCCUUCUUUAGUACGGGAGGACCGAGAAGGACAUACCUCUGGUGUACCAGUUAUCGUGCCAACGGUAAACGCUGGGUAGCUAUGUGUGGAGUGGAUAACCGCUGAAAGCAUCUAAGUGGGAAGCCCACCUCAAGAUAAGUAUUCUCA